Molecule: ribosomal RNA, 330 nt
Filed under: uncultured Smithella sp.
Lineage: Bacteria; Pseudomonadati; Thermodesulfobacteriota; Syntrophia; Syntrophales; Smithellaceae
Description: bacterial SSU rRNA
Rfam family: Bacterial small subunit ribosomal RNA
Source: RNAcentral
UGUCGUCAGCUCGUGUCGUGAGAUGUUGGGUUAAGUCCCGCAACGAGCGCAACCCUUAUCUUUAAUUGCCAGCAUUCAGUUGGGCACUUUAAAGAGACUGCCGGUGUUAAACCGGAGGAAGGUGGGGAUGACGUCAAGUCCUCAUGGCCUUUAUGCUUAGGGCUACACACGUGCUACAAUGGGUGGUACAAAGAGAAGCCAACUCGCGAGAGCGCGCAAAUCUCAAAAAGCCAUCCUCAGCUCGGAUUGGAGUCUGCAACCCGACUCCAUGAAGUUGGAAUCGCUAGUAAUCGCGGAUCAGCAUGCCGCGGUGAAUACGUCCCGGGCCUU